ACAUGCCUACAACAUAGCGUUAAUGCAUCGGAUCCCAUUAGAACUCCGCAGUUGAACGCCACUGCAGAGUUCUAACAGGAUCUAAUGCAUUAACUCUAUGUUGUAGGCAUGUA
Picea glauca (white spruce) is the source of this 113-nucleotide non-coding RNA. The record is from Rfam. Lineage: Eukaryota; Viridiplantae; Streptophyta; Pinopsida; Pinales; Pinaceae.